Molecule: long non-coding RNA, 6645 nt
Filed under: Panax ginseng (ginseng)
Lineage: Eukaryota; Viridiplantae; Streptophyta; Magnoliopsida; Apiales; Araliaceae
Description: long non-coding RNA (PGIN_LNC016586)
Source: RNAcentral
GGGAAUUUGGACACCUUUAAAAUGGGGUCUUCGGGAGUGGCCAGUUCACGAGGAGCUUGAGGUCGGUCCCCUUCAUGAAGAUCCACUGUGGGUGCCACCCCUUAUUGCUGGAAGGAGUCUUGAUGAGGAUGGCUCGGUUGGGUUGGCGGUUUAUGUGACGCCCCUAAAAUAGUUAUAUAUCACCCAUCUUGGGUCGCCAAAUGCAUGGUACAAAAUUUAAAUACAAACUUCCUUAUACAAUACGACAAAAACGUAAUUGAGAAUUUUUACACGAAUAUUGUCUAGUAGACAGUAUUCAAACUCAAAUGGAGUCCUCAUUACAAUUAUUAUCACACUAUUUUAUAAAAUAGUGACGACUAAUACAACCACCAUCUCAGACCAUCACUCCGUUCCCCGACUAGUCCCAACUACGUUCUCAUUUCCUGAAGAGAGAAAUGAAAGCAAAAGGGUGAGCUCAACUAGCCCAGUAAGAAAUAUUAUGACUAAGAUAAUGCAGAAUAAAUUAUUGUUAGCCUUCAACAGCGUUAAACUAAUAAAAUAUAAUAAACAUCAAGUUUAACUGCAGCGGAACAAGCAAUUCAUUAGAAGAGUCAAGUAGAACAUGAUAUCUACUAUCUUCUAUGAUUUAAAAAGUUUAUCAUCAAUUUUAUUGUUGAGACUCAGCUUAAUAAAUAAUCCACAUCAUCGAAUCAUCCCUGCACUACGGCUAAUGAUAUUCAUUAGUAUCACAUCCACGAAUUAUCCAUGCACUACGGGCCAAGGAUAUUCGUGUAAUCAUCAAUGGUCAUGAUCAUACCAACAACUUUCCAUCAAUGCACUACGGGCGAAUGAGGACUUUUACCACAUCAUUUGUAACAUUACGGGUCAUGAUUAUACCGAAUAAUCCUUGGUCAUAAUCAUAUCAAUCAAUAGUCCAUCUAUGCACGUAAACCAAAGAUGACUUUCAUCACAAUAUAAACAUGAGAAUGAUGACAAUGAUAUAAGAAUUUAAUUAAAAGAAAACAAAGGAUAAAUUUUUAAAGAUUUAUAAUUUAAUUUAUCUAGAAUUCAAUAAUGUUCAAAUUGUCAACACGAUACUGUUUUGUGGAGUAAAAUUCAAGAAUAAUAUUGUAUCAAAAAUGAUUUGAACAGCAAAGAAAUUAAUUUUUAUCAUGAAUAGUUCCCCGGGUGAAUACGACCCGAGUGAAUAGUAUCCCAUGAAUAGUACCUCGUGAAUAGUACCCGUGAAUAGUACUUUGUGAAUAAUAUCUCGUGAAUAGUAUUCCGGCAUGAAAAGGUCAAUAAUUAUCAAGAAUGCUCAGAAUAAUAUUUCCAUGAAAAGAUACUGGAUGAAGCGCAAAUAUCAAGGAUAUUCUACUAAUUUCACGGAGUAUAGAAGAAAUACUUUAACAGAAUGAGUGUAGAGUUUGGAAUACGAAACGAAAUAAUAUUAUUCACAUACUACAGAGUAUGGAAGAAAAUAUUAUUUCUUACUAAUACUGAACAAAAAUAAUAUCCCUUACCUUAGAAGAAGACUGGAUACUAGAAUAGUGAAGUAGCAGAAUACUCUCAUUCUUUCUCUCUAUAGUUUCUCUCUCUAUAAUUUCUCUUGUGAGUCUUAGUGAAUUAGUGAGAAUGAAAGAAGAAUGAGCUUCUAUUUAUAGAAAAAUAUAGUUUCGAUAAUUGCACGUUUUGGGGCUCGAAUUAUUACAGUAUAGUACAUUCAUCUUUUCCUCCAUUUUUAAUUUAGUCCUACAAGUAUUAUCAAACUUGCACCACCUCCCCUAAUAAUACAUGCAUGUAAAUCAAUAGUUCUAUUUAUGUGAAUAAAUAGUUAUAUGCAUGUGAACUAAUAGCAAUUAAUUACUCAUUUAUUCGAUUAAUUACCCGAUUGGUCAAUUUAACCUCCAGAAAUCAAUUAUUAUCGAAAUAAAUGUCGAUUUCCACUAACACUAAUAAUCUCAACACAAUGGAAAUAUCAAUUUCAUCUUUAAUCAACACGAACUUAUUCAUCAUUAAUAUUAUAACUCACAGUAUUUAACAACCAGAUCAUUCUCAGGAAAGAGGGGGCUUUCUGAUAAGGAUUUCUCCCAAUUGGCACGCAAUUAGGUGACCAAACCUCUUUCCUCGACAGAACUUUCUAAACAUCGUUAAUAUUGCAAAUAAUAAUAUGAAUAACUUUGUCGAAUCAAUUCUUGAUUUAAAAAAUAUAAAAUAUUAUGCAGAUGAUACUGUGACAAUAAUUAAAUCAAUAAUAUGAGAGAUAUUAUGCAGCAAUUACUGUAGCAAUAAUUGAGUAUAAUUGACUAACUUCUCAUGUAAGCAUCAAUAAUCAAUACAGUGUGCUACUAUGUAACCACGUGUAUUACUGUAGUUUUACCACCGGGUAUUUCACCAGUUUAACGGUAAAACUUUGCCGUUAUUUUUAUAAAAAUAUAAUUCUGUCGUUUUCUAACUACGACAAUACUUCCGUUGUGGGGUCCACCAAUGAUUCGUCGUACGAAUAUUCCCUGUUAAAAUGAAUAUUCCCCGACCAAUCGAAUAUUUUAUAACAACUUGUUUACUUUGCAAAAUUUAUAAAUAUUACCCACAACUAUAACCUUGUAUCAAAUCCACACCAUAAUAUUCAAAAAUAUAUUUCGAGAAAAAUUAAUCUUUAUUCAUAAAAGUUGGGGUCUUACAGUUUAGUUGUCGAAGGCUAGGUUCUUUCGACCUACCGACGAUGAACAAAGCAAAAAAGAAGUCCAGACCAGGGGUGAUGACUACCUCCUGGUACAGGGCUAUGAAGUUGAUGAGGUGGAUGUACGAGUUCGGCACCAGUUGGGCGAACCCGAUCCCCACGAAGCAGAGGAAUGAGACAAUGAAUUCAUGGAAGGGGAAUCUAACCCCGUACUUCAAAGCCCAGAGGGGAACGGCGACCCAGUCGCCUUCGGGUCGCCAGAAUAUUCUUUCCUUCGAUUCGGGGACCCGAAGCUUGUAUUCCUUCGAAAUGUUAAACAGGGUGCGGAUGUCCGAGAUCUGAGAAGGAUUGAUGGUCGAUUUGGUGUUGAUGUGAGAAAAGUCACUUUCGAAAGCGUAGACGGUUCGGAGCUUGGAUUCGACACUGUCAGUAGUGGUGUCAGCAGGGGCGACCGGUAAAUCGACCGGUAUCAAAUUCGUGGCGGCGAUGGUGGUGGUGUUGACAGUUGGUGGGAUUUGCUCUGUGGUGGAGGUAGCUGAAGGUUGGAAUCUGCUAUUUGAAGUGAAAGUAUUGGAAAUGUGGUGAUUUAGAAAUAGAAAAACUUAAAUUGGAGAAGUUUAGUUGAUUGCUCGCCGGAAAUCGCCCUUUGCCGGAAGCUCUGAGAGAUAAAUUUGAAAAAGUAGAAGUUGGGUAAAGAUUGGGGAUUUUAUAAGGACGUGACACGAAUCCCAAGGGCGGCUAAUAAUGGCAGGUGGGGCCCGGUCCUGGGAAAACGUGUGUCAUUUCAAAAAACGAAGAAAAACCCGAUUGGUUUUCCCAGACGUCUCUUCAUGUCUCUUCAAGUCUCUAACUAUAAAUACAUUAUAACAAGAGACUGAGGGGCAAUGUUCAGGAGUAAUUUAUCGACCCUCAGGUGGGCUGAAGGCCUGGGUCAAGAAGGGGAUAUUGAGCCCAUUGGGCCGAAGCCAUCAAGGGGAUUGAAGGAGUUCGAGUUCGGAUAUCCAAGUCCUCUGGGCCGGAGUCCUGUUCUGAUUAAUGAUGUUCGGGGUCAGACAUCCGAGUCCAUUAGGCCGGAGCCAGGUCUGUUUUUGAGGGUUCGGUUGAAUUGGGCCCAUGCAGUGGGAUGACCCUUGUAUGAAGUUCGGAGUGAUAAGGGUUCUGAAUGGUUAAGGAUUCUAGUCCUAACCAUAUUUGAAUAACUAACUCCAAAGGUAGUAUUUGGAUCGUAUCCCACUUGCACUUUUUAAGGAGAUUUUGUUGGACCCAAACAAUGGUAAUUGCCUUGUUCAAGAGUCCUAAUCCGAUUUGGAAAUGGAAUUUAGGUGAUGAGAGUGUCUAUAAAUAUAUACAAGGCUGGACUUCAAUUAAUAGGUAAUACCCUUUUGAGCACUAAACACUAAAGCCUCUAUUGUUAAACAUUGUACCAGCAUGUACUCAUUCUCACACCGGAGCUAUCACCUGGCAGCACAAGCCGUCAAGCUUCUUGUGUGAUCUGUUACUGUGCAGGUUUAAGCGCGUGGAUUCGGUGAUUGGACGUGCCGGUGAAACUUGGCGUUAACACUAUAUUUCCUCUUGAAUUUCUGAAAAAGUUGUUCAAUGGUGGACUAUCUUGUUCAAGAAUUCAAGAGAACGUACAGUACCUUGAACCACUUAUUGGGAAUUGUUGAAUUUUCUGUAACUCUCCUUUUGUUUUUGAUUUAAGAGAAAUUGAAAGCAUUAGAAAGUUACAAAUUUUUGGACAUCUUAACUUUGUGAAGCUUAAAAAUAGUACCCUGACAUCUCCAGCAAGGUGAUUAUACCAUGGAUUAUAUUUAGUCCAUAACAUCAAUCCGUCUUUCAAUCAUUCUAACAGAUGGACUAUCACAAGGACUAUAAUAUUAAAAGAUUAUAUUAUAUUUAAUGAAUUAUAGUUUACUAAUCAUUCUUCCACACUCUCAUUUAAUAUAUUUAAAAUUAUAGUCAACCAAAUCUUAAUACUUAAUAUAGCCUCUUUAACUCAUCAAAAAAUCUCAUAAACUAUAUUUAAUAUUACUACUAGAGUGAAAUCUAAAUACUAGAGUAUAUUUAAUCUAAAAUUUAUGCUUUUACUCAUUUAAUCUAGAAUUUAUGCUUCUCCGCCUACCGGAGAUGUUCUAUUCAUGGAUGGAAUUGUUCCACUUUCUGUGUCAUGAUUCAUGAUAUAGUGGUGGGCCAUUUUCAUAUUCUCCAUACUGUUUAACAACCAUUUGAUUUCCUAAAACAACAAAUUAGACAAAUCUCAAAGUCCACAUACCUAACAUUUUCCUUCGUGGUCGAGUGAAAUUUAAAGUUGAAUUAUGGGGGCCAUGGCUCCAAUUAGUGAAGGUACAUGGUGGGGCCAGGUGUUUAUCAGAAGUGAAGGCCUCAAUUGUUGGGCCAUCUUCUAUUCUAUUUAAAGAGAAUUAAAAUUUUUACAUGUAAAUUUAAUAAUUCUAUGAUGUGACAGUAAAUAAGAGAAUGUUAACCUAUCAAUUAUAUAAGGUAUACUAUUCGAUGAAUAUAAUGACCACGCAUUAUUUAACAUCAAAAGAUAAAAUUUGAGAUAACUACCCAAAAAAAAUAUUCUAAUUAACGUCAAUAAUAAAAAGUACUAAUAUUUUGUUUCACAAAAUUUUUUUUAUUUAAAUUAUUUAAUGUCAAUUUGUGAUAUUUUGUAACUAUUCAAUUUAUGUUAUUUUUUAGCUAAUAUGGGUUGGUAUGAAUUCAAUAUAAUUAUAAAUAUUAUACAGAAUUUUAAAUUAUAAUUAAUUAUUUUGGAAUUUCAAAUACUAAUAUCAUACCUGUAUUUAGCACCCAAAAAAAGGGCAAAAAAUACAGAAGAUACCAGCUCAGCCCAGCCCAAAACAAAUAUCCAACGGUCCCAAAUUUCAUCAUUUUUGAAUUUUCUCUUUUUAUUCACCUUCUUGUUGGGAGGGUCCUAUCUCACAGCAUGUCAAAGACUCAAAACCAUAAUAGAAAGCCCAAUCAAUUUUCAAUUCACAUAUAUAAAGAAAGCCAACUUAUGUACCAUUUCACUUUUUCUUUAAAAAAAAAUAUUUUUAUAAAAUUUAAAUGAUUAAAUACAAAGAUUAAAAUAUAUUAAUAUAAAAAAAUAUAAAAAUUGCAUUUAAAGUUGAAGGGCAUUUAAAGAAAAUCCAAUAAACUUUACAAAAAUUGUUUACAUAGCGGCGGACCUGUCUCUUGCUUUAUAUCUAUAAUAGUAAUAAGAUAGAAUCGUAUUUAAAUUUGGGCGGAAGAACAUAAGAACUGUUUAGAUUCAUUCUAAUUGAUUUGGACGGACGGUUCCUUCUAAUUUUCAGAUCGUUGAAACAGAGAAAGAGGGAGAGGAUUUCGUUACGCCAAUUACUAGUAUUAGAUAUAUCAAUUAUAUUAUAUUAAGAUCUAUGAAAUAGUUAUUACCAAAAAAAAAAAUCUAUGAAAAAGCAACAGAUAGUAAAACUAACGAUCUGAUACAAACCAGUUGGAGUGAAAUGAAGACUGAUAAGAAACCAAAACCAGAAGCAGCACCACCAAGAACGUGGGUGGUCGGAAACGUCUCGCCGGAGUUGUGGGCCCCGCACCCAGAAGUUGAAGCUUAUUCCAUUGGUAACAAGGCUGGAACGCAUGAAAAAGAUUAAUAAAACAGGCACCAAGAAGAGGAAAAGCUGGAAAUUGAUCUUGGUGUUAUUGAGCUGAGACUUGUAGGUUGUGUACUGAGAGAGUGACAAUAAAAAAAGAAUAAUGGCGAAAAUGGCAAGCAGUUGAAGCGGUGGGCUGGAGAUUGUGGACAGAGUUUGGCUUGUCCAACUUUAUUUCCCUUCUGGACCCCUUCUCUUUGGAUACACCCAAUCCAUCUGCUCUUCUGAUCAUGAAAUUUAAUGCAUGAAUGAAGCUAGUUAUUUCAUUAUUAUAGAAGCCUUUAAUUGGAAAAUGGAAUAUAUGCUUUUGAGUAUGGAUUCUUCAUAACUAACUUUAGCUUUGAACUAAUG